Molecule: ribosomal RNA, 426 nt
Filed under: uncultured bacterium
Lineage: Bacteria
Description: partial 16S ribosomal RNA
Rfam family: Bacterial small subunit ribosomal RNA
Source: RNAcentral
UGGGGAAUAUUGCACAAUGGGCGCAAGCCUGAUGCAGCCAUGCCGCGUGUAUGAAGAAGGCCUUCGGGUUGUAAAGUACUUUCAGCGGGGAGGAAGGUGUUGAGGUUAAUAACCUCAGCAAUUGACGUUACCCGCAGAAGAAGCACCGGCUAACUCCGUGCCAGCAGCCGCGGUAAUACGGAGGGUGCAAGCGUUAAUCGGAAUUACUGGGCGUAAAGCGCACGCAGGCGGUCUGUCAAGUCGGAUGUGAAAUCCCCGGGCUCAACCUGGGAACUGCAUUCGAAACUGGCAGGCUAGAGUCUUGUAGAGGGGGGUAGAAUUCCAGGUGUAGCGGUGAAAUGCGUAGAGAUCUGGAGGAAUACCGGUGGCGAAGGCGGCCCCCUGGACAAGACUGACGCUCAGGUGCGAAAGCGUGGGGAGCAAACA